RNAcentral lists this ribosomal RNA (330 nucleotides) under uncultured eukaryote. Its description in RNAcentral is "partial 18S ribosomal RNA". It matches the Rfam family "Eukaryotic small subunit ribosomal RNA", at positions 1470 to 1796 of the family's 1831-position model. The record is from RNAcentral.
CCCUUAGAUGUUCUGGGCCGCACGCGCGCUACACUGAUGCAUUCAACGAGUCUAAAACCUGGUCUGAUAGGGCUGGGUAAUCUUUUGAAAGUGCAUCGUGAUUGGGAUAGAUGAUUGCAAUUCUUCAUCUUCAACGAGGAAUGCCUAGUAAACGCAAGUCAUCAGCUUGCGUUGAUUACGUCCCUGCCCUUUGUACACACCGCCCGUCGCUCCUACCGAUUGAAUGAUCCGAUGAAUACCAUGGAUUGAGAGUACGAAUGGGUUCGCUCAUUUCUGCUGCUCGAGAAGUGGAGUAAAUCUUAUCAUUUAGAGGAAGGAGAAGUCGUAACA